CCUACGGGUGGCAGCAGUGAGGAAUAUUGGUCAAUGGACGAGAGUCUGAACCAGCCAAGUAGCGUGAAGGAUGACUGCCCUAUGGGUUGUAAACUUCUUUUAUAAAGGAAUAAAACGAGGCACGUGUGGCUUUUUGCAGGUACUUUAUGAAUAAGGAUCGGCUAACUCCGUGCCAGCAGCCGCGGUAAUACGGAGGAUCCGAGCGUUAUCCGGAUUUAUUGGGUUUAAAGGGAGCGUAGGUGGGUUGUUAAGUCAGUUGUGAAAGUUUGCGGCUCAACCGUAAAAUUGCAAUUGAUACUGGCAGUCUUGAGUACAGUUGAGGUAGGCGGAAUUCGUGGUGUAGCGGUGAAAUGCUUAGAUAUCACGAAGAACCCCGAUUGCGAAGGCAGCGUGCCGGGCCGCCACUGACGCUGAGGCACGAAAGCGCGGGGAUCGAACAGGAUUAGAUACCCGUGUAGUC
This 460-nucleotide ribosomal RNA is filed under the name uncultured bacterium. Its description in RNAcentral is "partial 16S ribosomal RNA". It matches the Rfam family "Bacterial small subunit ribosomal RNA", at positions 338 to 795 of the family's 1533-position model. The record is from RNAcentral.